UACGUAGGGAGCAAGCGUUGUUCGGAUUCAUUGGGCGUAAAGGGCGCGUAGGCGGCGGGGUAAGUCGGGUGUGAAAUCUCAGAGCUCAACUCUGAAACUGCACUCAAUACUGCUCUGCUUGAGGACUGGAGAGGAGACUGGAAUUCACGGUGUAGCAGUGAAAUGCGUAGAUAUCGUGAGGAAGACCAGUGGCGAAGGCGGGUCUCUGGACAGUUCCUGACGCUGAGGCGCGAAGGCCAGGGGAGCAAACGGG
RNAcentral lists this ribosomal RNA (253 nucleotides) under uncultured bacterium. RNAcentral describes it as "partial 16S ribosomal RNA". It matches the Rfam family "Bacterial small subunit ribosomal RNA", at positions 524 to 776 of the family's 1533-position model. The record is from RNAcentral.